Molecule: long non-coding RNA, 2332 nt
Organism: Sapajus apella (tufted capuchin)
Lineage: Eukaryota; Metazoa; Chordata; Mammalia; Primates; Cebidae
Exons: 2
Source: RefSeq, a predicted model, not a curated record
UCAGCCUCCCAAAGUGCUGGGAUUACAGGCGUGAGCCACCGCGGCUGGCCAGCGCUGACUCUUUUACAGCUUGCUGUUGCAGAGUCAGGAAGGAUCCAGACCAAGAUGCACCCUCCACAGCCGCUCAGAGUUCAAUGAAGUGCCAUUACUCCAGCAGCACUUACCGGAGCGGAACAGAACUGGCUGCCCCCUGGCCCUUGGCCUCGCUGCCCUCACUGGAAGGACCAGAGUCCAGAGCGUGGCUGCAUAUUCAAGGACACCAGCCAGACAGUUCAGCAGGGGGUUGCAGCUCAUAAGGUCAUCGGCCACAGGGGCCACUACUAUGGUCUUGGAAUCGGCUGCGAUGUCAUCCCAGGUUGAUGACCUAGCCUGGACAGGAAGAGCUGUGCAUAUCGUCAAGGCUGUGCUUACAGUACAUCAGUGAGGCACAGCACCUGUGCAUCCCAGCAAAGCCCAGAGUGACCCAUUUUUCACCUCAGUAGCCAGCAUCAGCAUGCCAGUGGUCUGUCUCCUUCUCUGGCGCCCCAGUCCUUUCCAGAAAUUCACCCAGCUUGCUGACAAGAGACUGUGCAGGUGCUGCUGUUACCUGGUGGUGGGCUGUCAUCGGACAGCUGCAGGUGAUCGCCCUGAGGCUUGGUUGUGGAGGUUGUCAAGCAGAAGGCUGGCAAUAUUCCCACAGCCCGGAUGUGCCGAGGCAGCGUACGUGAGUCAGGCCACAGCUGCUGCAGCCACAGUGUGGCUUUGUGCUGUGAUCGCCUGCAGAGAGGAGCAGCCACUCACCCAUCCACGGACUCUCCUAAUUGCUUCUUAGCACCUAUAAUUCCCUUUCUCCUGGGAAAAGCCCUGCAAGUUCCAGGCUUUCCCCUACCCUGUUCUGUGGAUUCCUUUUGGUUGAUUUCCCAGUAUGAGAUCCAGCAUUAUUCCUUUUGAAAUUGUAAUCCCUGCUGUUUUCCCACAUCGAGAGUGAAACUAAGAGGCACUUUUUUAAGAAUCUGCUUCCAAGUGCUCUUGGACCAAGUUUAAGUUCUCUGUCUACUCUAGCAGGCUCCGCCCAUUCCCAGGGCAUCUGUCUGAAGUGGGGCCUCUCCUGGCCAAAUCCUACCAGCCAAGACCUGGAUCUCCCAGAGCUCAGAAAGCUCCCACUGGCAGGGGCCCUGUUUUCCUUCCUGCGUCCUUUCUCUCCCCUUGUCCCCUGGUCUCCAGAUGAGAAGACACAGAUGGCACUUGUCCCAAGAAGACCUUCACUUGUGCUGUGGGCAGGGAGGUCACUCUUCCCUUUCUUAGCACAAAGCAGUCACUGUGCUCUGCCUUGCAGAGGGAAAAUGCAAAUGGUGCUCUGGGUGUGGCCGAGUUCCUGGGGGCCCCAAGUGCUGGGGCUGCAUUCUUUAUGGGACAGCCUUUUUCUUCCCUUUCUGCAGGCUGGGCCUGAAAUAUGAAGAUUACUUAAAACUCAUACUAUGCCAGGACAUGGACAUCGCAACAAAUUGGGUAAUGAGUGUCAACUCAAAGACUAUUUAAGAUUAAUUGCUGCAUAAGAAAACCUGAAAUGCCCUGAAAGCUUAUGGACCAUAAAUGAAAGAAAAGUUCAUCACAACGUCCUCAAGCUUGGAAACAACCCUAAGACUUCAAGACUAACAAACAGAUGUGAGGCUGAAACUCUUCUGAACUUUAAUAACAAAAACAAGGUGUGAUAAUUGUACAAGACAGAAGAACUAUUUUUCUAUUCCCUCUACAGGAAGAUAUUAUUGCAGAAUCAUUAUUUUUGCUGUUGUUUGUUUUAUUUUUUAUUUUUAUUUUUAGAGACAGGGUUCUCCCCGCCUCCCCAGGCUGGAGUGCCGUGGCACGAUCAUAGCUCACUAUGGCCUCGAACUCAUGGGCUGCAGUGACCCUUCAACUUCAGCCUCCCCAGUAGCCAGGACUGUAGGGCAGGCAGGAUCAUUCUUCUUUGAAGAGAGAUAUACAGCCCAAAAAAUGCAGAGAAAGGAUGUUUAGAGGUACCUCGGGCAAUUAUUAAGCAAAAAUAUUGCGUCGUUCUUUUGAGUUUUAUAUUUGCAGUAUUGGUCAGCUUCUGAAACUUUGUAAGCCUUUCUUGCAUUGCUCACCAAAGCCUGGAGAUUUCAACCACUAUCAAUGGCUUUACAUGUUGUAUGCCCAGGGACACCUAUGGUGCAAUCAUAAUAGCUAAUUUUCCCUGCAGUGCACAAAUCUCAUACUCUUGAAAGCCAGAUGUAGUCAGUUCUCAGUCCCUUUGAUGCAAUGAAGUUAUGUGUGUGCAACCAGCCUCCUUUUCCUGCAUGAGCUCCUUGAAACACUGCUUUUUCUGGAAAAAAAA